This 520-nucleotide ribosomal RNA is filed under the name uncultured Archaeospora. RNAcentral describes it as "SSU rRNA". It matches the Rfam family "Eukaryotic small subunit ribosomal RNA", at positions 569 to 1095 of the family's 1831-position model. Lineage: Eukaryota; Fungi; Glomeromycota; Glomeromycetes; Archaeosporales; Archaeosporaceae. The record is from RNAcentral.
AGCAGCCGCGGUAAUUCCAGCUCCAAUAGCGUAUAUUAAAGUUGUUGCAGUUAAAAAGCUCGCAGUUGAAUUUUAAGCCUGGCCAGGCGGUCCGUCUUUGGCGAGUACUGUCUUGUUGUCGGGUCUUCCUUCUGGUGAACCAGUAUGCCCUUUAUUGGGUGUGUUGGGGAGCCAGGACCAUUACCUUGAAAAAAUUAGAGUGUUUAAAGCGGGCUAUUGCUUGAAUAGAUUAGCAUGGAAUAAUAGAAUAGGACGUUGUGGUUCUAUUUUGUUGGUUUCUAGGACCACCGUAAUGAUUAAUAGGGAUAGUUGGGGGCAUUAGUAUUCAAUUGUCAGAGGUGAAAUUCUUGGAUUUAUUGAAGACUAACUAUUGCGAAAGCAUUGCCAAGGAUGUUUCAUUAAUCAGAACGAAAGUUAGGGGAUCGAAGACGAUCAGAUACCGUCGUAGUCUUAACCAUAAACUAUGCCGACUAGGAAUCGGGCGACGUUAUUUUCAUGACUCGCUCGGCGCCUUAUGGGA